This is a long non-coding RNA of Arachis duranensis, 633 nucleotides long. RefSeq lists it as uncharacterized. The record is from RefSeq and is a predicted model, not a curated record. The transcript has 3 exons. NCBI's taxonomy places the organism in Eukaryota, Viridiplantae, Streptophyta, Magnoliopsida, Fabales, Fabaceae.
UUUUUCAAAAACGGAAGGUCUAAAUUUAAAUUAUACUCACCAACACCAACCACUCAUGAACCAUGACUCAUCCUACAUCUACCAACGACAUUAUUUUCAGAUCCAUCCAUAACAAAUGAAUUGUGAAAAAUAGAUCUCAAAUGAUCCUAAAGAACAAACCACUUAUACAACACCAAAAUGAUAUUAGAUCAUGUAACCAUGGACUCUUCCACUCUGCUUGAUGGAUCUCAGCAUUAAUUGGUCUCAGGAUUAUUAUCUUGCUUCAAUUCGGGAGUCAACUUGAGUGGAUCAAAUUAGCAAAGCACCUGUUAUUCAUCACUUCUCCGAAAGCAUUUUGGGGGUCAUGACAGUCCGAGCAUUCAAAAAGCAUAAAAGAUUUACCUGAAGAGAACAUGUACAUAAAAGAGUGAAUGCUAAUUUAAGCAUGGAUUUCCACAACUAUAUUUCCAAUGAAUGGUUGCGCUUACGCUUUUAGAAUUUUUUGGAAGUUUGAUUUUCUGCAUUUUCGCCAUGUUCAUGAUCCUCUUACCAAGCAAGAUCAUAAAGCCAGGAUCAAAGUUGGAAACGGACCGAAUACUCAAACUGGUCCCGGAGUGACCUAAAAGCGUAAGUUUCUAUAAUUUGAUAUAUAUA